Molecule: non-coding RNA, 303 nt
Organism: Pelobates cultripes (western spadefoot toad)
Lineage: Eukaryota; Metazoa; Chordata; Amphibia; Anura; Pelobatidae
Source: the annotation of a GenBank genome assembly
AAUAUUGGGACAUAUAAAAAAAAAAAACUCUGUUCCGCAGAGUAGCUGUUGACAUUACAGUUGCGCAGGCACUUCGUUGACUCUAGAGAACCUCGGGCCAAUCGCACAUCCCCAUGACGGCGACUUUGCAUUCGGAUGUUAUCCAUAUCAACUUUCGAUGCCAGUUUCUGCGCCUACCAUGGUGACCACAGGUAACGGGAAAUCAGGGUUCCAUUCCAUACAGGGACCCUAAGAAACGGCUACCACAUGCAAGGAAGGCAGUAGGCGCGCAAAUGACCCAAUCACGACGCAGGAAGGUAGUGA